Molecule: ribosomal RNA, 497 nt
Filed under: uncultured bacterium
Lineage: Bacteria
Description: partial 16S ribosomal RNA
Rfam family: Bacterial small subunit ribosomal RNA
Source: RNAcentral
GAUGAACGCUGGCGGCGUGCCUAAUACAUGCAAGUCGAGCGAACGGACGAGAAGCUUGCUUCUCUGAUGUUAGCGGCGGACGGGUGAGUAACACGUGGAUAACCUACCUAUAAGACUGGGAUAACUUCGGGAAACCGUAGCUAAUACCGGAUAAUAUUUUGAACCGCAUGGUUCAAAAGUGAAAGACGGUCUUGCUGUCUCUUCUAGAUGGAUCCGCGCUGCAUUAGCUAGUUGGUAAGGUAAAGGCUUACCAAGGCAACGAUGCAUAGCCGACCUGAGAGAGUGAUCGGCCACACGAGAACUGAGACACGGUCCAGACUCCUACGGGAGGCAGCAGUAGGGAAUCUGCCGCAAUGGGCGAAAGCCUGACGGAGCAACGCCGCGUGAGUGAUGAAGGUCUCCGGAUCGUAAAACUCUGUUAUUAGGGAAGAACAUAUGUGUAAGUAACUGUGCACAUCGUGACGGUACCUAAUCAGAAAGCCACGGCUAACUACGUG